AUGGGCCAUCAGAGGCAAUUCUCAGUAGGUUCUCGUGUCUUGAUUUCAUAUAAAUAUCAACCACAUGCCUUCAUCCCGCCUCAACCCCUUAUUGUUCCUACCCCAUUUGACCUUUAAAGGGGUCUUUCUCCGUCCGGCAUGUGGGAGCUUUGCAGUGCAGCAAUUGAUAUGAAUUGGAUGUGGUGAAUUAGAUCUUUUUGAUUUGCAGUCAUUUUGAACAGAAACUGAAAUUCCUCUUUCAGAAGCAAAGAUUUAUUUAACUUGAACAACAGAAACCGUUCUGUUCUUUAAGAAGAGUGGUCUGUUGUGACAUGCAUGGAGGGAGGUGGCAGUCGUAGGGCUCAAACAAAGCAAUGGGUCCUAUUUUAGAGCUCACCAGAAGUCACCCUCAGAGUAGGGGUCCGUGUCCUGCUCAUCAAACACCUGGACAGUCUGCUCUUCUUAAGAGCAAUAUAUGUGAAGAGCUUGGACUUUAUUUUACCUUCAUAUACCCUGCCUAUUGUAUCUCAGUUAUAAUUAGCCUUGAUACUUUUUGUUGAUGUAUAACUUCACUUCUCAGAGGCAUCUGCUCCGUUUCAGAAGUCAAGCACAUUACCUCUGAAUGAAAGGGUGACUAUUUGUGACAAGCAUUGUGAUACACACAGAAGGCAGUUUCAUUUUGGAUGUCUGUGGAAAGAGCGAAACAGAUGAAAUACACAUUAAAAACAGCUGAAUAAGUAUAUUGAUCUUCUAUGAAAAAUUUCCUCCUUGGAAAUAAGAUUGGACUGCGAAGAAAAUAAUCGAAAUGUCAGGCAACUUUUAAGUACAUGUCCUACUGCAGAUGUCUACACUGUUUAAAACACCUUUCUGCCACUCAGAAUGUGUGAUUUCCAAAUUUAGUUUCAUGUUUUAUUUUUUUUUUAAUCGAGGGUGGAAUUUAAUGAAUCAAAAUUAAAUCUGAUAUACUUGGUGUUUUCUUUGAGAACAACCCAAGUAUAAGCUUCCAGGGAGAAGAAUGAAUCAGAGCAAUUAAAUGAGUUCAGUUUGAAUCCUAUUAGCAAGUAAGCUCUCUAUUUUUUGUGUGUGCCUCACCUGUCAGUUCAACAGGUGGGUGGCAAAGCCUUGUGGAAAGUAGCUUUUGCUCGGACUUAGCGGAUAGUGACCAAAUUAAGGAACUUGAGGUGGACGGGCAAAAGGGAUGAACAGAAAAGUAAACUGAUCAGCAGGUUUUGUGCAAAUGGUUCCCAACUUCCUAUUAAGUUCCAAUUAGCCACUGUCAUAGAGUGCUAGGAUGGUAAUAAAAUGAACCGCUGCACAGUAUUUUUGUUUAUUUUUCUUUUACUGAGACUGGCCGCAUCACUUUGUCUUGUCGCUUUUUAUCCAGAGUCUUACCCUCUGUGCCACCAUAGGUGGACAGACCACAAAGGGUCACAUAUGCUGUAAUAUGUCAGGUGACCAGUUUGGUUAAACAUAAAUUUGACCACUGACUCUGCCAAAACCAGCAGACCUGACUGUAGGUCAAAAACUGACUAUAGGUCAGGCUCAAAGAGUAAAUACCGUGUUUCUGUAUUAGUGAGUGGAAUGAGCUUCGUGAAAGGCAAACGUGUGUGCCAAAGCCGAGAAUGAAAGUUGGAACAAUUUGAGUGCAGAAGAGUAAAUCUGAAUUAUUAUUACAUGUUGUUAAUUUCUUACAGUUGUCCUUUAUGUAUGGUGGCAGAAUGAGAAAUCACAGUGUGUUGCUCUUGGAAGGAUUUUUACUCAUGGAAAAAUUCUCACAACUUUUUGGUGACCCUUUCAUCAAGAUGUCAGUCCCUUUUGGCACAAGCCCAUUGCCUGAAAUGAAACCACCGACAGUUAUUGUCUGUGGGUGAUUCCAAGUAACUUUCUAACAAUUUGCUUAUUCUGGGUAGCCUGAGCCCUUCAAAGUCUCUGCACCUAUUAAUGUUAAAAAAAAAAAGUUUCAUUAUUUUCUUUUAGAGGCAUCUUGUACCUCCUUUUAUCCUUUUUGGCAAAAUGGAGUUAUUUUCUUUCCUUGAUUAGAACUGGAAUUACUUUGCUGAUCUCUGUAACUAGCUUACAUGAAGACUUAGCCUAUGUACAAUGGAAACUUCUUCUAGGGAAGCAGCAGAUUUAAUACCUGGCCACCUCUGCAAAAUAUAUGAACAUGCCUUUUCUGUUAAACAUGUAUUUCCAUUUACAUAAUUUAAAACAUUAAAGAGGAUCUAAUUUCAGUGUAUUUAUCUGGUUUAGUUAAGGGCUUAUGCCAAAUACAAAUUUAUAAUCAGCUCAUUCCAGGGUACAAAAUUACAGGUAGACUUCAGAAUUCAAAACAGAACGAUUCAGUAUCUGGACAUUUUACAUAUACCCUAAAAUGAUGAUGUUUCACAACAAUAAUUUCAAGACACUCAAGACUCCUAGAGUGUCUUUGCAUUACCAGAAAAAUACAACCACUUUGUUAACUCUCCUAGGCACUGAUCACAGUGUAUUCUGUGUAGGGGACUCUCUGAGGGCAAUUCUGGGGGCACCAUUUACAUAGUUAAAAUAUAUUGUUAUACAACUCAGGAGUACUGUCAAAGGUGCAAUUUUGAGUUUACUUUGCUGUGUCUUAGUUGACCAGAGUGUUCUUUUCAAUAACUCCUUCCCAAACUUUUUAGGUUAUCUGGUUCAUGUGCAUUUUUUUCCAGUUGCCUGUUUUGUUUUAUUUUAUUUAUUUAUUUAUUUAUUUAUUUAUUUAUUUAUUUUUGCAAUUAACAAGAUAUUGCAAGUCUGCAGAGAUUUUCGGUAAUUUAUAUUUGGCUUUUUGCUAAAUUUGAAUAUCAAAGUAUAUUUUGUAUGGGUUUUUGGUAUUUAGGUGUUUUAUUUUAAAGGUACUUGCUUCAGAUACAUCAAUGAGAAGAAAAUACUUCAGAAUGAGCAGAUGAUCUUGAAUAGCUUGAAAAAAUAAUGUAAUCCAAUGUCAAGGUUAAGUCCCAAUUUACAAUAUGACUACCCUCUGUGCAGUAAACUUGCCUUUGCGUAUGUGUGUGCAUGGACUCACAGUGGCAUAAGCAUGGACUCAUUAUGUUUUAAUAGAGAUCUAGGAAUUGGAACUAUUUAAGUUCUCUGUGAGGCUGAUGCUGAGCUUUUCACAAAGAUGAGUUGACUUUAUUGUACUGUUCAUAGAGCUCUGCUUUUUGUACAGUCUGUGAAGUGGCAUUCAUGGCUUACAAGGAGACUCUUUCAAUAAUCUCCCCAUUAACAUAAGGUUUUCUUAUUUAAAGGAGAAAGACAAAGAUUGAGGAGGAAUGAGGUACUAUUGGUCGCUGUGCCAUUGGGCUUUGGAAUGUAAAUUUAUAGGUUGCUCAGUUGAUUGUGGAGUUGCUGAAGAGUACCUAGGAGGGUAAUUUUAUCUGGUGCUAUUUUACACAAGGCCUUCCAGCGCACUGUAAGGGGGAGAUUGGGGAUUGUUUGGGGAAUUAGGACAGUAGGGAUGAUCUAUCCGGCUUUAACCCCAGCCCAGCUUCAUCUUGAGUUAUAUAGAUAAUUCAGGUAGAAGGCAUUUGAGCAGAAAUCUUUGAAUAAACAGUUAUUUAGAGUCUCACUCUAUUUUAACCUGAUGGAAUUCUUAAAAACUUGUAUGUAAAGCAGAUCAUCAUCAAAUACUAAAGACAUUCAUUUUAUUUGAAAUCCUGAAAUGAGUACUUCUGAAGUAGAAAAAUAAACUUCUAAAAUGUGAAUACUUCACUAAAUUAGAUGAGGAACCUCUAGAUUACAAGCGUUGUACGUUAAGUAUUCAUCCACACUGGGGAUGGGGAGCCCUGGGGUGAAAUACCGGCUCCCUUGGUCUUCCACAUGUUUUUCCUUAGUGCUGUUCCUGGCUGAAAAGUCUCCUAAGGUCUUAUCCUCACAGUCAAAGUGAAAUGGAGCACUGACAUAGUUAUCAGAAUAAUUACGCUUAAAACAAAACAAAAAGCUUGAUUUCAUCUGAUUCAUCUUGGUUAUUCAGAAUGUUCCUGGAGUGAUGUAGGAGUGGGAAGGAUUUGCCUGAAUUAUCUGUGUAAUUCCUUUGUUCUACGGGAAAAGACUAGGGAUAAGGAAAUCAUAUCCACAAAUCCAAUUUGAAUAUACCAGAGGAAAAUGUAUUGAAUGUACUUGGACUAUGUCAUCUUGGUUGAUCACGAUACAUUAAAAGAUUCCAAUUUUAAACUGCUCCUUUGCUUUGAACUGGAAAACAGAUUAACCAUAAAUCUCAGCCCACAUCUGUAGAAAUCAUGGUUGCUAAAAAUACCACUUAUUGGGUCUAAAUUUAUCUGAAAUGGGUAUUUCUAGACAUAUUUUGCAGGUAGGGACAGCUUCAAAGAUUUCUAUCUUACUGGUUUAAAAAAUAGCAGUGACCCUGAAAUUGAACUGUGAGGGCAUGAUUAGCAGCAGCUAAUGGUUUAGCAGCUCUAAUGGUUUGGGAUUUAAGCAUUAACAUGGCUCUCAACUAAAUUCUAAAUAUCAAUUCAGUUAUUAGUAGCCAUGACAUGGUGUUAACCUGGGUGUAACACUAGAUUAUACUCUCCUGCAUUAUUGGUUGGUUGGAUCAUACUCAUUUCUUUCAUUGACCAAAUAAAUUACAGGCUCCCAGAGGGUUUAUAAAUUUCACAUAGAGCGCUUAAUAAAGUUUUAAAUAUAUGUUAGAAGUUCAAUAAAUAUUGGGUUGGACUUUUAAAAAUUCAUCCUUAAGACUUAAUCAUGUUUAGUUUUGGUGAUCUGGAAGUAACUUGUACCCUUACCUUCUUCUUAAGAGGUAGGAAGUUGAAGUGAAUAUAAUUUUAGUUUUCACAGUCAGUCAUUUUCUAUUAUUUACUAACAAGAGAAAAAAAUUGUGGUUAGUCCAGAAAGCCACUUGCCAAAAGAGAGUGGCUUGCAAUUGCUCACAUUUACCAGCUUUGGAGCCACACUCUGAUCAACCUGGUGAUAUGCUAGGUUUGAUCCAGCUGUGGUAACUUAGAGCUAACAGUAACUUUUCCUGUAGCCAUAAAAAUCCCCUCCAGGAUCCAGGAGGAGCUUUGAUCCCAGUACUGGAAUUUUAAAUCCCCCACUUUAUAAUCAGAUUCUGUGAUAUAUGGAAAUAACCUCGAGAACACAAAGGUGCCAUGACUAGAGAGUACUGAAGAAAAUGAGAAAAGUUCUUGGUGCGAUUGUGCAUCUAUUCCCAUGUCAACUGAACAAGUAUUUUUUGAGCAUUUUAUUUGUGCUUGGUUCUUUGCAUUACAGAAGAUGCACACUUGACCUGUGCCCUCAGUCAGCUUAGAUUUUAGUUGUGGAAAGAAGGCUAACAUGUGUGACAAAUUUAAUGUAAUGCAAUAGAAUCUAGUUCUAAAUUGUAAGAUGCAGAAGAAUGAUACUAUUGAACACUGGGGAAUGGGGAUUGUAGGGGAAAUUUUUUUUUUAGGAGGUAGAAAUUAAGCCAGACCCAGAGAUGGCAAGUAUAUGGCAUGCAUGCCAUCACGAACUCCUGCUACCCAUGUGGCAGACAUUGCUAAUCAAGCUUGAUAUACCCAUUAUUAUUAUUCAGCCUGAAUCGGAUUUCAGAAUCCUCAGUAUAGAGUUCUGUUAAUAAUUGGUUGGAGUUGGCACUCAACUGAAAACCUAGGAGUGGACUAUUUGCUCCUUGACAGCAGGUGUCAUGCCUUCUUAAGCUUUUAUCCCUAGGGCUUAACACUAGUUCUUAAUAAUUAUUAAGUGAAUGAAGAACUAAGAAUAUUUGGAUAGAUUUAGAUGAGAGAGAAGCGUAUUCCAGAUGAAGGGAAUACAUUAGAAACAUAUGCUUGCAAGAGUAAGCACGAUGCAUUUGUACACAGUAGAGACUGUCCUGUUUAGGGCCUCUGUGCCAUCAAGCGCAGACUGCACAAACUAGAUCUAGAAGCCAAGGACUUGAUGUGCUAAGCUAUAGGAAGCCACCAAGCCAGCAUCUUAGAGUUGGCCCAAGGCCAUCACUCGGGUUCCAACCUGUCCACUUCUUUGCCUUUUGAUUGUGCCCAACAGAAAGGAACACACACUUCUAUAUACUCCUGGCUAGAUGGUAGCUUAUUUUGUUGUUGCAUCUCCCUGUCCUCAGGCUGGGGUGGAGUGGUGGAGAGAAGGCUGGCCCCUAGCUACAAGGAAUUGGGAAAGAAGAAGGGAGCACUGUUAACCCCUUUCUAUUGAGAAGGUAGCACCACUUCCACUGGCCAAUUACAGCAGGUUCAUUAGCGCCCAUGUGGCCAGAGAGGGCGUUACUGCUGCCUGAGAGGAGGCACCACACUUUCCUUCAUGAGGCUAACUGGGUGGAGCCACGUGCUAAUCAGUUGUAACCACAUGUACCCGGUUGGUUCCCUCUUUCCACUUCUUCCUGAUUAGUCAGACAUACUCAAAAUUCAAGCCAACACUGACAUCAUCAUCAUAAAAUUGUUUACAGUUUGAGGCCUACAUGCUGUUACUAAGUUGGUCAAUAGUCUAGUGACCAUUUGAAGGGAAUCUCAUCACAUGACACACAGAAGUUGGGGAAAGCCAAGACUGAGAAGGAUUUUCCUUGAAUUUCUUCUUGUUACAGCCUAGACUCGUAGCUUAGACUACAUCAGCUUCAAGAUUUUCAAUGUGAAAUGACUUCAUUAACUCUUUUAGUCCCUUCAGAUGAGGCUGGACUUACCUGAUUCUCUUGGUAAAAGUAACAUAGGUAAACGUCAUUCCUUGAAUUCUUUAUGCCUACUCUCACCUCAUACUUUUAAAUAAUUUAUUUUUUAAUUUCUGUGUUUAGACCUUCAUAAAUUUAGUUUCUGUCAGUGGGCAGUCAUGUCAGGAACCAUGUAAACGAAUCUUAUUUCUGGCCACAAUGGAAUAUAUUUUCCUAGAGGAACCAGACACCUGUUACUCUAAACAUACCCCAGGAGUCCCUCUGUGUCUUUGCUUACUCAAUCCUAGAAAGAAGGCUCCUUCUGACAGAAUAAAGCCAUUCUUCAAGACUGAGUUUAAAUAACAGCUCCUCUACGAAACUCACCCCUGCAUAUCCAGUAGGAAUAAUCUCAUGCUUUCUCUAUACAGUCAUCACACAACAUUCUACUUACUGGCUGGUUUAUUUCUGCCCAUCUGUUUUUCUACCCUCCAGGUCUGUAAACUUGAAACAAGAACACUGACCACUAGUACAUGGGCAUCAUCACCUCUCUCUUUGGUAGCAGUUGAGACUGUGAUGCCUUGUGUUUUGUUUUGUUUUGUUUCCUUUUCCUCUCUAGUCAGGAUGGUGAAUUCAGAUGUGGAAAAGUUUCAUCACUGAGAGGGAACUCUAGAACAGCUAGUGAAGUUGACUGGCAUUCUCUUUCUGCACAGUGGAAGGAAACCCUAACUUUCAUUGACAUGUCCUAAUGGGACGUUGGAACAGAUCCCAUGUCUCUGAACCAGUCUGAUUAUUGCUUCAGUACCUAUCCAGGAUCUGGCACAUCCUUAUUGAUCAAUAAAUGUCUGUGGAAUAAAUGAAUGAGUCAGUAGUUGGGGAAACAUGGAGAUCUGUUAUUUCUGGGCAGAACCAGGCGACUCACCUUGAGAUUUAUAGCUAGUAACAGCCUAAUACUCUGCAGAAUUGUGACAGCUCAGGUUAUAAAAUUUAUGGCCCAGGAAAUGAGAUGAGCACAGGUAGAUUUUGAAUUUACUACUGAAAAGCCCCUCGCAAUAAUCAUUAAAGGUAGCUCGGUGGUAGGGAGGUAGGGGGAUAGCUAAGUGAAACCUACACACAGUACAGGAACAACUCCUACAUUUGGUGCUCCUUUCUUUUAUACUUCUUUUGACGGAAGAGGUCCUAAAAGAGUCCAAAAAGUUCACUUGGAAUGGCCUGCUGAAAGAGGAAUCUCCUCUCAGGGUAGAGUCACCCGUCUCAUCUGCAACAUUGCUGUGGAGAGCCAUUAUGUGCUGGGUUAUUAAUGCUGUUUUUCCAGCAGGUCCACAGUUUGUGUCUCAGCAACCUGACUGAGGCGGUCAUGAUGGUAAAGCAUAAUCAGCUUUGGUUUCACAAGGUAAUGAAAUCUUCAUAAAUAUAAUCAUGGCCUAUUAUUACCUUCGAGUGGCUCCCAUUUUAACGUUGUGCCUUAAAAGUGUUAGGAUUAUCUAGCUGGAGAUGUUUUGAAGCCCUUGACUUCAGGCUGUGCUUGUUCAGCAUUCAUCCUUACUUUCAUAGACAGAAAUACAAAUGGGACUCGUGUUUGAAAAGGA
Herpailurus yagouaroundi (jaguarundi) is the source of this 8184-nucleotide long non-coding RNA. RefSeq lists it as uncharacterized. The transcript is spliced from 2 exons. The record is from RefSeq and is a predicted model, not a curated record. Lineage: Eukaryota; Metazoa; Chordata; Mammalia; Carnivora; Felidae.